This 550-nucleotide ribosomal RNA is filed under the name uncultured bacterium. Its description in RNAcentral is "bacterial SSU rRNA". It matches the Rfam family "Bacterial small subunit ribosomal RNA", at positions 94 to 640 of the family's 1533-position model. The record is from RNAcentral.
AGCGGCGGACGGGUGAGUAAUGCUUAGGAAUUUGCCCAGUCGAGGGGGACAACAGUUGGAAACGACUGCUAAUACCGUAUACGCCCUACGGGGGAAAGCAGGGGCUCUUCGGACCUUGCGCGAUUGGAUAAGCCUAAGUGAGAUUAGCUAGUUGGUGAGGUAAUGGCUCACCAAGGCGACGAUCUCUAGCUGGUUUGAGAGGAUGAUCAGCCACACUGGGACUGAGACACGGCCCAGACUCCUACGGGAGGCAGCAGUGGGGAAUAUUGCACAAUGGGCGAAAGCCUGAUGCAGCCAUGCCGCGUGUGUGAAGAAGGCCUUCGGGUUGUAAAGCACUUUCAGCGAGGAGGAAAGGUUGGCGGUUAAUACCCGUCAGCUGUGACGUUACUCGCAGAAGAAGCACCGGCUAACUCCGUGCCAGCAGCCGCGGUAAUACGGAGGGUGCGAGCGUUAAUCGGAAUUACUGGGCGUAAAGCGCAUGCAGGCGGCCAAGUCAGUCAGAUGUGAAAGCCCCGGGCUUAACCUGGGAAUUGCAUUUGAUACUGCUUGG